AUACGGAGGGUGCAAGCGUUAUUCGGAAUCACUGGGCGUAAAGGACGCGUAGGCGGGUUUGUAAGUCAGGUGUGAAAUCCUACAGCUUAACUGUAGAACUGCACUUGAAACUACAGACCUAGAGUAUGGGAGGGGCAGAUGGAAUUAGUGGUGUAGGGGUAAAAUCCGUAGAUAUCACUAGGAAUACCGAAAGCGAAGGCGAUCUGCUGGAACAUAACUGACGCUAAGGCGUGAAAGCGUGGGGAGCAAACAGGAUUAGAAACCCCUGUAGUCC
Molecule: ribosomal RNA, 274 nt
Filed under: uncultured bacterium
Lineage: Bacteria
Description: partial 16S ribosomal RNA
Rfam family: Bacterial small subunit ribosomal RNA
Source: RNAcentral